UAUCCUUGCAUGAGGUUUCAGGAGCUCUGCUGAACCUGUGCUUCCACAGCUCUUUUUCAGGUUACGUGGUUUAGACAAAUCUCGACAGCCUCUGCCAGAGAACUCUUGCAGCCUUCUGGGCAACCCAGUUCAGUGCUUCAGUUCAUCAUGAAGCUUAAAGAUGGCUUGUCUUUAACCGCCUCUUGUUUAUAGCAGGAAACCCAAAGAGCACUCCCAGGAUCCUACAAGCAAUUGUUCUUGCCUAUUUGUAACUACUAUGAUGCACUAAGAUGGGACUUUCCACCCAUCUGGUCUAAUUUCCCGAAGAUUGCAUGCCUGCUGGGAUCAGUUGCCCCACCAAGUUGCCCCUUGCUGAAAGGUCCUGACAGAGAGAUGCACAAAAGAUAUUUAUGUGCAAAAUGACCUCUUUUUUUUUUUUUUACUUUUUGCAACUGUUUCCUUUUUCUACGCCAUAAGUGAUCAUAAUUUAAAAAUGUAUUUUGCUAGUUACUGAGUGCAAUGUUCAAUAUGAACCUUCUGUGAAUAAAUUAGUUCAGAUCGUUUCUCUGAACAAGUUCUGAGAUGAGUCAGUUCUCAGGAUUUGCCCACAGUGAGUUGUUGUUUUCUGCAUUUCUAGUUAUUAAUGGAAUAAAAUUACUUGGCCUUUUGUAAUCUAAUAAAAUUUUCCUCUUCUGAACAAGGUGUAAAGGUUGAUGAUAUGUUGUUACAGCUCUACAGUAUUUUUCCCUCCUAUGAAAAACUGCUCCUCUGGCAAUAUUUUUGCUUUGACAAUAAAUUAUAAUAAAGUUUUGAGAAGCAAGCAUCCACUCUCUGU
Neopelma chrysocephalum (saffron-crested tyrant-manakin) is the source of this 814-nucleotide long non-coding RNA. RefSeq lists it as uncharacterized. The record is from RefSeq and is a predicted model, not a curated record. NCBI's taxonomy places the organism in Eukaryota, Metazoa, Chordata, Aves, Passeriformes, Pipridae. The transcript is spliced from 4 exons.